GUAUAUAAGGAGCACUCACAGGUCUUCAUCCAAAAUCCAAUUUAUUCUUUGGUGCAAAUUACAUGUACAAAUUUUGAGCAAUCGACAUUUUGACCCUCACAGGGUCUUCUUUGGAUCUAUAUUUUAAUUGGGGUAGCCCCCAAAAUAUUGGGACAUAUAAAAAAAGACAACUCUGUUCCGCAGAGUAGCUGUUGACAUUAUAGUUGCGCAUGAACUUUGUUGACUCGGCGGUGACUUUGCAUGCGGAUGUCAUCAAUAUCAACUUUCUAUGCCAGUUUCUGCGCCUACUAUGGUGACCACGGGUAACGGGGAAUCAGGGUUCCAUUCCGUACAGGGACCCAGAGAAACGGCUACCACAUGCAAGGCAGGCAGCAGGCGCGCAAAUGACUCACUCCCGGCGCGGGAUGGUAAUGACGACAAAUAACAAUACAGGACUCUUUAGAGGCCCUGUAAUUGUAAUGAGUCCACUUGAAAUCCUUUAACUCUGAUCAAUUGGAGGGACGUCUGGUGCAGAGCCACUGACCAUUGCGUUCUGCAGCUGAAACUCCACU
Molecule: non-coding RNA, 551 nt
Organism: Pelobates cultripes (western spadefoot toad)
Lineage: Eukaryota; Metazoa; Chordata; Amphibia; Anura; Pelobatidae
Source: the annotation of a GenBank genome assembly